GACAGAGGUGCCGAGCGUUAGGCGGAAUCACUGGGCUUAAAGCGUGUGUAGGCGGAUCGUUAAGUGCCUUGUGAAAUCCCACGGCUCAACCGUGGAACUGCUUGGCAUACUGGCGAUCUUGAGCCACUUAGGGGCUACCGGAACAAAUGGUGGAGCGGUGAAAUGCGUAGAUAUCAUUUGGAACGCCAAUGGGGAAAACAGGUAGCUGGGAGUGUGCUGACGCUGAGACACGAAAGCCAGGGGAGCAAACGGG
Molecule: ribosomal RNA, 253 nt
Filed under: uncultured bacterium
Lineage: Bacteria
Description: partial 16S ribosomal RNA
Rfam family: Bacterial small subunit ribosomal RNA
Source: RNAcentral